UCUUCGACACUUUUUUUCUUUGUUUUGUUUCUUCAUGUGCCUCUCCUCCCUUCAUUCCUCCCCUGAGCUACAGCCACAUUCAGGGACCAGGCUUGUAAAACUGACUCCCCAAUUCUUCCCACAGCUUCCGCCAGGUGCGGCUGAAACACCGGAAGCUCCGGGAACAAGUGAACUCCAUGGUGGACAUCUCCAAGAUGCACAUGAUCCUGUAUGACCUGCAGCAGAAUCUGAGCAGCUCACACCGGGCCCUGGAGAAACAGAUGGACACGCUGGCGGGGAAGCUGGAUGCCCUGACUGAGCUGCUUAGCACUGCCCUGGGGCCGAGGCAGCUUCCAGAACCCAGCCAGCAGUCCACGUAGCUGGACCCACGAGGAGGAACCAGGCUACUUUCCCCAGUACUGAGGUGGUGGACAUCGUCUCUGCCACUCCUGACCCAGCCCUGAACAAAGCACCUCAAGUGCAAGGACCAAAGGGGGCCCUGGCUUGGAGUGGGUUGGCUUGCUGAUGGCUGCUGGAGGGGACGCUGGCUAAAGUGGGGAGGCCUUGGCCCACCUGAGGCCCCAGGUGGAAACAUGGUCACCCCCACUCUGCAUACCCUCAUCAAAAACACUCUCACUAUGCUGCUAUGGA
This 630-nucleotide small RNA is filed under the name Pan troglodytes (chimpanzee). RNAcentral's name for it is "retained intron". The record is from RNAcentral. Lineage: Eukaryota; Metazoa; Chordata; Mammalia; Primates; Hominidae.